This 711-nucleotide long non-coding RNA is filed under the name Cricetulus griseus (Chinese hamster). Its description in RNAcentral is "lncRNA (ENSCGRG00015036469.1)". Lineage: Eukaryota; Metazoa; Chordata; Mammalia; Rodentia; Cricetidae. The record is from RNAcentral.
GUGUUCUCUCUGCUUAUAGAUCAGGAUGUAGCUCUCAGCUACUGUUCCAGCACCGGGAGCAUUGCCCUGCUCCCACCAUGAUGAUAGUGGACCAACCCUCUGAAACAGGGGGUGAUGCUAGCUAUCAAACAGAGGCGCUGCGGCUUACCAAGCAUGGGCUCCACCACUGAUUGAAAACUUAGCCCCCAGGAACCAGAUAGUGUUUCUCUGUGUAGCCCUAGCUGUCCUGGAACUCUCUUUGUAGACCAAGCUGGCCUCGAACUCACAGUGAUCCACCUGUCUCUGCCUCCAGAGUGCUGGGAUCAAAGGCGUGCACCACCAUCAUCCAGCUGGAACAAUUUAUUGGUGAAAAAAAAAGUUUCUGUAUAAAUUAAUGAUUCUUUUCUUGGCCUAUACCAAUACAUAAAUAUGGAGCAGGAAUUACUUAUGAAAAUAUUUACAAGCUCAUAUUGCAAUAUAAUUGGUGUUUGAGCACUCCAUUAAUAUUUAAUUUUUCAUCAACUAAAUUAAUAUUUAAUUUUUCUUGAACUAAUUUAUUGGCAUAUUUUCAACAUUCUACCAAGGGACAUGCCAUAAAUCAUAUUAAUAAUGUAUAGCAUGAGAGCCUUUCAUAUUUCUUUUCUGAGCUAUCAUUUAAAAAUAAUUUUCUAUGACAGGAAAUUCCAAAUGUAGUAUUUAUGGAAGAUAAGACUUCUGUGAUUGGCUUCAGCA